Molecule: ribosomal RNA, 461 nt
Filed under: uncultured bacterium
Lineage: Bacteria
Description: bacterial SSU rRNA
Rfam family: Bacterial small subunit ribosomal RNA
Source: RNAcentral
UGAGGAAUAUUGGACAAUGGGCGCAAGCCUGAUCCAGCCAUGCCGCGUGCAGGAUGACGGUCCUAUGGAUUGUAAACUACUUUUGUACAGGAAGAAACAGUUCUACGUGUAGAACCUUGACGGUACUGUAAGAAUAAGGAUCGGCUAACUCCGUGCCAGCAGCCGCGGUAAUACGGAGGAUCCAAGCGUUAUCCGGAAUCAUUGGGUUUAAAGGGUCCGUAGGCGGUUAGAUAAGUCAGUGGUGAAAGCCCAUCGCUCAACGGUGGAACGGCCAUUGGUACUGUCUGACUUGAAUUAUUAGGAAGUAACUAGAAUAUGUAGUGUAGCGGUGAAAUGCUUAGAGAUUACAUGGAAUACCAAUUGCGAAGGCAGGUUACUACUAAUGGAUUGACGCUGAUGGACGAAAGCGUGGGUAGCGAACAGGAUUAGAUACCCCCGUAGUCCCUGAGCGGGCUGGCAAG